This 1128-nucleotide ribosomal RNA is filed under the name Foraminifera sp. RNAcentral describes it as "partial small subunit ribosomal RNA". The record is from RNAcentral. Lineage: Eukaryota; Foraminifera.
AAGGGCACCACAAGAACGCGUGGAGCAUGUGGCUUAAUUUGACUCAACGCGGGAAAUCUUACCGGGUCCGGACACACUGAGGAUUGACAGGUGUUUGUGGAUUGGCUUUUUGUUCUUUUUUUGAAUAAUAAGUCUUUCCACUAUAAAUAUGCUAGUCCUUUCAUGAUUGUGUGAUAGGUGGUGCAUGGCCGUUCUUAGUUCGUGGAGUGAUCUGUCUGCUUAAUUGCGUUUCACUAUGGGAUGAUCUAUCUUCCGCUCUUUUUUGCAUUGGCCAUUUUUGUUUUUGUCUACAAUCUUUUGUUUGUUUUGUUUGUUGGUUCUUUGUGUUGCAAUUUUUUUGUUUCACAAUCCAUCAUCCAAUGCAUCCRAUUCUUUUUGUUUUCAAAACUUGGUCAUUUUUUGCAUCUUUGCGGUAAGGUUACUUCCCUGAAGGCAACGAACGUGACCGCAACCUCUUGUUGCCUCCUUUUUUGAAAUAAACAUUCGUCUUUAGCUCUUCCAAAUUUUUUUUUGGUGUGCUAUUGUACUGUGCAUGGAGUGCAAACUAGAGGGACCGCUGACAACUUUUUUAAAACAGAGGAAGGUUGCGGCAAUAACAGGUCUGUGAUGCCCUUAGAUGUUCCGGGCUGCACACGUGCUACAAUGAUUAUUGCAGUGAGCAUGUAACCCGAUUUUGAAUUACUCGAUAUGUGGUUUCUUGUUUUGAUUUUCUUUUCAAAACAAGUACCAUUGUCGAACUUACCUGCUUCGAAAGUAAGCAGGUAAUCAAUUCGAAGUAAUGAUUUCCAUUUCGCACAUACUUAUAUUGCCUGUUUCUUAUUGAUGAACCGCUUCAGUUGGGUUAGUUUCGGCUGAUCUUAUCUGUUGUCGCUUGUUCCAGGUGAUAUGUGCUCCAUUAAUUCAUGGUGGGGACAGACCAUUGUUAAUUGUUGGUCUCGGUCUCAACUAGGAAUGCCUUGUACGGGUCUUUGGUUCAACAAACCACCCGGAAUAUGUCCCUGCCCUUUGUACACACCGCCCGUCGCUCUUACCGAUGGACUUCUCUGUGAGUAUAGAGGACUGGCUAGCUAUUUAUAGCAAGCUAUGGAAAUCUACGCGAACAGCGAGGUCUAAAGGAAAGAGAAGUCG